AUUGAACGCUCGCGGCAGGCCUAACACAUGCAAGUCGAACGAGUGGCGGACGGGUGAGUAAUGUCUGGGAAACUGCACGAUGGAGGGGGCUAACUACUGGAAACGGUAGCUAAUACCGCAUACCAUCGGAUGUGCCCAGAUGGGAUUAGCUAGUAGGUGGGGUAACGGCUCACCUAGGCGACGAUACCUAGCUGGUCUGAGAGGAUGACCAGCCACACUGGAACUGAGACACGGACCAGACUCCUACGGUAGGCAGCAGAAGGGAAUAUUGCACAAUGUGCGCAAGCCUGAUUCAGCCAGGCCGCGUGUAUGAAGAAGGCCGUCGGGUUGUGAAGUACGUUCAGCGAGGAGGCGUUACUCGCAGAAGAAGCACCGGAUAACUCCGUGCGAGCAGCCGCGGUAAUAC
This 406-nucleotide ribosomal RNA is filed under the name uncultured bacterium. RNAcentral describes it as "partial 16S ribosomal RNA". It matches the Rfam family "Bacterial small subunit ribosomal RNA", at positions 30 to 526 of the family's 1533-position model. The record is from RNAcentral.